Non-coding RNA from Paramuricea clavata, 338 nucleotides. Lineage: Eukaryota; Metazoa; Cnidaria; Anthozoa; Malacalcyonacea; Plexauridae. The record is from the annotation of a GenBank genome assembly.
UUUUUUACACCAGCCAUUAAUUCGCUUCGACGAGUUAUGUAUUUGAAUUUAAUUCCAUCGGUUUCCGUAUGAAAAUUAUAGUUAAAUGAGGUACGAUCACGAUACGAAUACUGUAGGAUGAGUGGCUGAGCGUGAGAUAGUAGUAUACGUGUUCCAUGCAUUGCACGGUAGCAAAAUGGGAAUUUUAAUUCCAUAUCACGUGAUCACAAUCGGGAAUUUAGGGACUGAUUACUUGCAUAGAGAGUUUUCAAUCCGGACUGAGUUUCAUCCCGGUUUCCCGGGCUGAAAUUUCAGCCCGGUCCAAGGAUAAAAUCCUAUUAAAACACAGCAAGCGAUCA